AUCCAUGGCGGGCCUUGCGGGGCAGCCUUCGGGCUGGCCGGUGCCAACGUUCCGGUUCGCCAACCCUGCAUGUGCCCGCCUCCCUC
Molecule: non-coding RNA, 86 nt
Organism: Mumia flava
Lineage: Bacteria; Bacillati; Actinomycetota; Actinomycetes; Propionibacteriales; Nocardioidaceae
Source: Rfam